This 741-nucleotide ribosomal RNA is filed under the name Glomeromycotina sp. AI6n-3. Its description in RNAcentral is "SSU rRNA". It matches the Rfam family "Eukaryotic small subunit ribosomal RNA", at positions 373 to 1115 of the family's 1831-position model. Lineage: Eukaryota; Fungi; Glomeromycota. The record is from RNAcentral.
GGGCACGACACCGGAGAGGGAGCCUGAGAAACGGCUACCACAUCCAAGGAUGGCAGCAGGCGCGCAAAUUACCCAAUCCCGACACGGGGAGGUAGUGACAAUAAAUAACAAUACGGGGUUCUUUCGGAUUUCGUAAUUGGAAUGAGUACAAUUUAAAUCUCUUAACGAGGAACAAUUGGAGGGCAAGUCUGGUGCCAGCAGCCGCGGUAAUUCCAGCUCCAAUAGCGUAUAUUAAAGUUGUUGCAGUUAAAAAGCUCGUAGUUGAAUUUCGGGAUCAGCAAGUUGGUCGUGCCACUGGUAUGUACUGGCUUUGCUGAUUCCUCCUUCUUGUAGAACCGUAAUGCCAUUAAUUUGGUGUUGCGGGGAAACAGGACUGUUACUUUGAAAAAAUUAGAGUGUUUAAAGCAAGCUAACGCUUGAAUACAUUAGCAUGGAAUAAUGAAAUAGGACGAGCGAUCCUAUUUUGUUGGUUUCUAGGAUUGACGUAAUGAUUAAUAGGGAUAGUUGGGGGCAUUAGUAUUCAAUUGUCAGAGGUGAAAUUCUUGGAUUUAUUGAAGACUAACUACUGCGAAAGCAUUUGCCAAGGAUGUUUUCAUUAAUCAAGAACGAAAGUUAGGGGAUCGAAGACGAUCAGAUACCGUCGUAGUCUUAACCAUAAACUAUGCCGACUAGGGAUCGGAUGAUGUUAUUUAUAAUGACUCAUUUCGGCGCCUUACGGGAAACCCAAGUGUUUUGGGUUCA